This 433-nucleotide ribosomal RNA is filed under the name uncultured bacterium. RNAcentral describes it as "partial 16S ribosomal RNA". It matches the Rfam family "Bacterial small subunit ribosomal RNA", at positions 29 to 507 of the family's 1533-position model. The record is from RNAcentral.
AACGAACGCUGGCGGCAUGCCUAACACAUGCAAGUCGAACGAGACCUUCGGGUCUAGUGGCGCACGGGUGCGUAACGCGUGGGAAUCUGCCCUUGGGUUCGGGAUAACAGUUGGAAACGACUGCUAAUACCGGAUGAUGACUUCGGUCCAAAGAUUUAUCGCCCAGGGAUGAGCCCGCGUCGGAUUAGCUAGUUGGUGAGGUAAGAGCUCACCAAGGCGACGAUCCGUAGCUGGUCUGAGAGGAUGAUCAGCCACACUGGGACUGAGACACGGCCCAGACUCCUACGGGAGGCAGCAGUGGGGAAUAUUGGACAAUGGGCGAAGGCCUGAUCCAGCAAUGCCGCGUGAGUGAUGAAGGCCGUAGGGUUGUAAAGCGCUUUUACCCGGGAUGAUAAUGACGGUACCGGGAGAAUAAGCCCCGGCUAACUCCGUG